RNAcentral lists this long non-coding RNA (274 nucleotides) under Elaeis guineensis (African oil palm). Its description in RNAcentral is "long non-coding RNA (EGUI_LNC068625)". The record is from RNAcentral. Lineage: Eukaryota; Viridiplantae; Streptophyta; Magnoliopsida; Arecales; Arecaceae.
GUCAGACAAUUUUAUUUGAAUUUAAGUUACUUCAAUGGAACAGUAAAGUCUACAGUGAAAGGUGUUGAUAUUAUUCUUGAUUCUAUGCAUUUGGGAUAAAUCCUGCACUUGCCUUGUGAAGGAUAUACUAAUAUAAAGCUCUCAAUCAAAGAAGAAGAAAUUAAUGUUAUCUUAGGAAGAACUUUUACUGAAGGUUUGAAUAAAUUAGAAGUAAAAAUUUUUUCUAUUGAGAUGAGGUUGUUACAUCACAUGGUAACCAAACUGUUUGUCCCUA